ACGUAGGUGGCAAGCGUUGUCCGGAAUUAUUGGGCGUAAAGCGCGCGCAGGUGGCUCCUUAAGUCUGAUGUGAAAGCCCACGGCUCAACCGUGGAGGGUCAUUGGAAACUGGGGAACUUGAGUGCAGAAGAGGAAAGUGGAAUUCCACGUGUAGCGGUGAAAUGCGUAGAGAUGUGGAGGAACACCAGUGGCGAAGGCGACUUUCUGGUCUGUAACUGACACUGAGGCGCGAAAGCGUGGGGAGCGAACAGG
This 252-nucleotide ribosomal RNA is filed under the name uncultured bacterium. Its description in RNAcentral is "partial 16S ribosomal RNA". It matches the Rfam family "Bacterial small subunit ribosomal RNA", at positions 525 to 776 of the family's 1533-position model. The record is from RNAcentral.